RNA transcript from Oreochromis niloticus (Nile tilapia), 503 nucleotides. RefSeq lists it as uncharacterized. The record is from RefSeq and is a predicted model, not a curated record. The transcript has 3 exons. NCBI's taxonomy places the organism in Eukaryota, Metazoa, Chordata, Actinopteri, Cichliformes, Cichlidae.
UACAGCUGCCAGGGCAGAAGGGACUAUGUUUUAACAUACUCAAGUGAAACCAUCAAACUGAUUGUAUCAUCGAAACCAAAGGCUGAACUGAGAGCUGAUAGGACAGCUGAUCCAGUAGGGGGGCAGUGUGACCCUGACCUGCUCUGUGAGCCCAUCAUCAUCAUCAUCAUCGUCAUCAUCAUCAUCUGGAUGGAAAUACUACUGGUACAGAGAUGGGAAAUCUUUUCAACCUGUGACAAAUGGACAAAUCAGUGUCUCAGAGGGAGGACUCUACAGCUGCAGAGGAGGAAGAGGAGAACCAGUUUACUACACAGAGAACAGUGAGUCAGUCAGGAUUGACACAACUGUCUCAAACAGGCCUGUUGUGACUCUGUAUCCAAACUGGUCUGAGAUAUACAGAGGAGAGACGAUCACUGUCAGAUGUGAGAUCCAUGGAGGAGACACUGAGUGGGAUUAUGAGUGGGAAACAAACAGCAUGAUAAAACCUCCAAAUCAAAAUGAAU